GGGAACCCCCCCCGCCGGGACCUGCCGCUCCGCUGCGGGCCGUUCUGCGGUGCUGUCAUCUAGGAUUUCUGUAAACUUUAGUUUUCAGGAAGGAUGGCGUGAUGGCACAGCAGAAUGCAAGAACGCCUUACAACUUACACGCGGAACUUUAUAGCCAUCAGAUGCCUGGUGUAUUAAGUAUGUUUUACUGCUCAUUUUUAGGCAGUUUAUAAAGGAGUAGUGCUCAGAAGAUUUCAAAAUCUUGCCUAACAUUCUGCUGUUGCUUCUUAAAUCAGAUUCUGAAGUGUUCGUGUUCCAAAUCUCAAUUACUUUUGAAUCUUGCAAAGUGAACCUGGCACUGGAUGCUAAUCCCUUCAACAUAAAAGCAUUGUAUGAUGUAAUAAAACUGUAUUUCAUACAGUCUUACA
This 407-nucleotide long non-coding RNA is filed under the name Aquila chrysaetos chrysaetos. Its description in RNAcentral is "lncRNA (ENSACCG00020010947.1)". Lineage: Eukaryota; Metazoa; Chordata; Aves; Accipitriformes; Accipitridae. The record is from RNAcentral.